UAGGGAAUCUUCGGCAAUGGGGGGAACCCUGACCGAGCAACGCCGCGUGAGUGAAGAAGGUUUUCGGAUCGUAAAGCUCUGUUGUUAAGGAAGAACGAGUGUGAGAAUGGAAAGUUCAUGCUGUGACGGUACUUAACCAGAAAGGGACGGCUAACUACGUGCCAGCAGCCGCGGUAAUACGUAGGUGGCAAGCGUUGUCCGGAUUUAUUGGGCGUAAAGCGAGCGCAGGCGGUCAAUUAAGUCUGAUGUGAAAGCCCCCGGCUCAACCGGGGAGGGUCAUUGGAAACUGGUUGACUUGAGUGCAGAAGAGGAGAGUGGAAUUCCAUGUGUAGCGGUGAAAUGCGUAGAUAUAUGGAGGAACACCAGUGGCGAAGGCGACUCUCUGGUCUGUAACUGACGCGGAGGUUCGAAAGCGUGGGUAGCAAACAGG
This 430-nucleotide ribosomal RNA is filed under the name Bacteroidota bacterium. RNAcentral describes it as "Bacteroidetes bacterium partial 16S ribosomal RNA". It matches the Rfam family "Bacterial small subunit ribosomal RNA", at positions 355 to 776 of the family's 1533-position model. Lineage: Bacteria; Pseudomonadati; Bacteroidota. The record is from RNAcentral.